CACCCGCCGCUCCGUCUCCAGCAGCCGCAGCUCCAAGCGUAAUCCGGUGACUUCUAACCUUUGUUAUUUUCGUUAUUUCAUAUUCCAUUUUAUUUCAUUAUUUCAUAUUCCAUUCUUAGUAUUAUGCUAGUAGUAGCCCCUGUACCUUGACUUGCGUGGAAUUUGUGGACAUUGUCUAUUGUCUGUUGUUGCUGUUGCUGUUGCUGUGGUCGUCUCUUCCACUGCUUUGGAUUGGGUUAUUGGCUGGGAACCUGUAUUUGGGGCGGUGGGUGUUGAGUCCGGUGGUGUUUGCCCCCUAAUUGAGUAUAGAUUUGUUUCGGGAGUAUUCCUUUGAAUUUGUGUGAGCCUUGUAUUUCCUUGCUGCUGAUUUGAUACUACCACCGUGUAUAUCUGUAUAUUUUCCUAUACUUUCGUGUAGUUGUGGCUGUGGGCGGUAAUGGGUGGAUAGGGACAUGUUCGAGGGGGUUGGGGAGUGGGNN
This 479-nucleotide long non-coding RNA is filed under the name Capsicum annuum. RNAcentral's name for it is "long non-coding RNA (CANN_LNC008447)". Lineage: Eukaryota; Viridiplantae; Streptophyta; Magnoliopsida; Solanales; Solanaceae. The record is from RNAcentral.